GACAGAGGUGCCAAGCGUUAGGCGGAAUCACUGGGCUUAAAGCGUGUGUAGGCGGGUCGUUAAGUGUCUUGUGAAAUCCCCCGGCUCAACCGGGGAAUGGCUGGGCAUACUGGCGAUCUUGAGCAGUCUAGGGGCAGAUGGAACAGACGGUGGAGCGGUGAAAUGCGUAGAUAUCGUCUGGAACGCCAAAGGUGAAGACAGUCUGCUGGGAGAUCUGCUGACGCUGAGCACAACGAAGCCCAGGGGGAGCGAACGGG
RNAcentral lists this ribosomal RNA (257 nucleotides) under uncultured bacterium. RNAcentral's name for it is "partial 16S ribosomal RNA". It matches the Rfam family "Bacterial small subunit ribosomal RNA", at positions 524 to 776 of the family's 1533-position model. The record is from RNAcentral.